GGCUGGGAGGCGCGGCGGCUCUCAUAGCGCCGGGGCGGGGGAAGGCGUGGCGGUCACCGACGGCCGGCGGCGGGCGGAAGCGGCGAGGUCGGGCGGGAGCGGAGCCUCAUCGCUGCCCGCACCGAACCGCGCCGAGCUCACCGCCGGUAGCGCCGCGGCCGCUCGCGGCUCCCGUACAGCCCGGCCGCUGACCGCCGCUCCAGCGCCGCUGCCGCCGCACUUCCGGACAGGGAGGGGUCACGCGGUGCCGCGCCGCGCCGCUUCCAUCCGGGGCCUCAGAGACGCCACGCCCCUCACCCCCUCCCAACCCCCCCGCGGCGCGGGGCGGGGCGCGAGGCGGCCGUUGGGACGGGGGUGGCGGGAGCGGCGUCCUGGCUGUGUGGAGCGCUGCAGUGAGGGGACGCGGUGCAGCGCACCGGGUUGCAGCAGCCCAAGGGGCCGUGGCGUGAAGCAGGCACCCUGUGACCGUCCCAGGCUUGGAGCUUCCCGGGACUUCUUUUUUUUUUGUCGGUUCGUUUAUUUCCAGUUGAAGUUCACCUGAAAAUGACACUCGGUGAGCUACCAGCUGACCCAACCAGCUGCGGCUGUUGCACCUCAGCAACACCUCAAUCACACACACACACCGCUGCGUGCUGACACAGCCCUCGCCUUCCUGUCCCUCUCAGCCCAGCUCCUGACACGGCUGCUUUAAUUCCCUCCCACUCACUCGCAGCACCCAGCAGUUGUGAGAGGAGCUGUUUCCCAUGGUCCUGGUGGGACAGAUAGCUCCAAGGUAUUAGCCUAUCCUUCUAAACCUCAAGGGGAGUUGUAAAUGCUACAUGCAGUGCUGCAAACAAAUACCUGCUAUGGGCACAGCGAAGUCUCACCUCAGUUCCCUCCUUAUUCCGUUUAGCUGAAGGCCCGUUCGGAGGAGGACCUUCUAACUGAACUGCCUCCAUGGUGAUUCUAAGAUUGAGCACACAGGAAAAGCAGCGGGCUAAGAUAUUUUUGUAGAUAGCAACUAACGACCAUCUCCUUCAAAUCUCACUUCAGAGAAAGUCUGCAGGGGUGGAUCAUUAACAGAAGCUGUGAAGAACGCAUGCAUAUUUGUCAGCAGACAAAAGAACAGGUAGCUGUGUCUCCAAGAAGCGCCAAAGAUCUGUAUGACACUGGACCUGAUGCCAAAGUGGUACCAUUUCCUCCAUAGUAAAUGGGGAGCAAUCACCUUACCUUCGUCGUCAUUCAUCCUGCCAUUAAACCUGGCUCUCAUUCAUCGGCGUGAUGAUCAGAGCCUGAGCCCGAGAAUAAUCAGAGUAACACGGUGCAGUAUUUAGCAAAGCAGCGGCUGAAACGCAGCCCCUCAUCCCUGUGUGUGCCCC
This 1358-nucleotide long non-coding RNA is filed under the name Gallus gallus (chicken). Its description in RNAcentral is "long non-coding RNA NONGGAT008679". Lineage: Eukaryota; Metazoa; Chordata; Aves; Galliformes; Phasianidae. The record is from RNAcentral.